RNAcentral lists this transfer RNA (68 nucleotides) under Astyanax mexicanus (Mexican tetra). It matches the Rfam family "tRNA". Rfam says of the family: Transfer RNA (tRNA) molecules are approximately 80 nucleotides in length. Their secondary structure includes four short double-helical elements and three loops (D, anti-codon, and T loops). The record is from Rfam by way of RNAcentral. Lineage: Eukaryota; Metazoa; Chordata; Actinopteri; Characiformes; Acestrorhamphidae.
GCAUUGGUGGUUCAGUGUAGAAUUCUCGCCUGCCACGCGGAGGCCCGGGUUCGAUUCCGGCCAAUGCA